This 460-nucleotide ribosomal RNA is filed under the name uncultured bacterium. RNAcentral's name for it is "partial 16S ribosomal RNA". It matches the Rfam family "Bacterial small subunit ribosomal RNA", at positions 338 to 795 of the family's 1533-position model. The record is from RNAcentral.
CCUACGGGAGGCAGCAGUGAGGAAUUUUGGUCAAUGGACGAGAGUCUGAACCAGCCAAGUAGCGUGAAGGAUGACUGCCCUAUGGGUUGUAAACUUCGUUUAUAUGGGAAUAAAAUGUUCCACGUGUGGGAUUUUGUAUGUACCAUAUGAAUAAGGAUCGGCUAACUCCGUGCCAGCAGCCGCGGUAAUACGGAGGAUCCGAGCGUUAUCCGGAUUUAUUGGGUUUAAAGGGAGCGUAGGUGGAUUGGUAAGUCAGUUGUGAAAGUUUGCGGCUCAACCGGAAAAGUGCAGUUGAAACUGGCAGUCUUGAGUACAGUAGAGGUGGGCGGAAUUCGUGGUGUAGCGGUGAAAUGCUUAGAUAUCACGAAGAACUCCGAUGGCGAAGGCAGUUCACUGGACUGCAACUGACACUGAGGCGCGAAAGUGUGGGUAUCAAACAGGAUUAGAUACCCGAGUAGUC